Microplitis demolitor is the source of this 2438-nucleotide RNA transcript. It is a transcript of the gene named lysophosphatidylcholine acyltransferase, with no coding region annotated. Lineage: Eukaryota; Metazoa; Arthropoda; Insecta; Hymenoptera; Braconidae. The transcript is spliced from 8 exons. The record is from RefSeq and is a predicted model, not a curated record.
UCUAUUUCCUUUUCUUCAGUUAUUUUCUGUCAGUAUAUGCCAGAUAUAAUAAUACCAGUACAUACAUUAUACAUACAUACUGUUGAUACCAUCUACUUAGUACUUAUUACUGGUGCUGCAAUUUAAGUACAUACUGAAAGCUAAAAGUAUUUUGCGUCAGACAGCGUUGCGCAGAGUUGCGCAUCGGAUCAUUUUAAAAACUCGCGUGCUUACUUAUAAUUUCUACUAAUUAAUAUUCAUAAAUUAUUAAAUAAAUAAACUUAACAAACAACAAUACAAAAUUACUUUACAUUGUAGUCGAGCAGUAUUCAUUUUCAAAAAGUGUUUCAUUUUUUUAAUCAGUUUUUUUAUUUCUUCACUGCAAAUACAUUUAAAAAAUUGGUUUUCUUUUUUUUUAGAAAUUAGGACAGUGCUUUAAAUAUGAAGUGAAUUAAAUUUAUAAAUUAUUUUUUUUUACAUAUUUAUUAUUUAUAUAAACGAGUAUAUUUAAUAUUAGUGGUGUAAUACACCCUCGUGAUGCGCCGCCGCUAAACACUUACCUCGUCCUCGGAUUUUCCACGGAUUUUCCCGAGGCCAAGUGACAAACGUCGUCGGCACCAGUUUACUCUUGGCUAUUGAUUUGGACAAAGUUUGUGUAUACGUGAAAAAAAAAUAAAAAAAAUAAAUCAUAUUUAUUUUGGUGACGAUUUAAAUUAUAUGACAGUUGUAUUUUACAUAAAAUAUAACACAUUAUUUUUAUAAUACAGAUUAUUAUUAAAUGAGGCAUAUGGAAAAAAUAAACAGCAUCAUGAGAGAUAAUACAAGUGAAUUAAAAUCACCUUCUAUUGACACCGAUAUCCUUAAUCCAUUUGUUCAUCGUCUUGAACUCGAUACAACUUAUGAAAAAUUGAAGACAGCUUUUCUAACGGUAGCUCUACUACCUUUACGACUGGCAGCAAUCACUGCAUUAGUGAUUAUCGGAUGGCUGCUAGCUUGUUUAGGACUCCAUGGAUUGUCAGAAGAUGAUCUACGUCGUGCCCCUCUCACCGGUUGGAGACGAAAAAUAGUGCCAUGGCUAUGUUUUCUUGGCCGUUUAACAUAUACAGCAGCAGGAAUGAAAAUAGUAGUACGUGGAAGACAAGCAUCAAGAUCAGAAGCUCCAAUAUUAGUGGUUGCACCUCAUUCAACUUUCAUUGACGGUGGUAUUGUCUACAUCUUGGGAUUUCCAUCUACUAUCGUCAGGAGAGAAUCGGGUCUUAACCCAUUUACCGGAAAAUUGAUAAACUAUACACAGCCAGUUUAUGUGUGGAGAGAUGACCCGAACUCGAGGCAGAAUACGAUAAAAGAAAUAAUUGAACGUGCGACUUCAAAGGAAGAUUGGCCUCAGAUAAUGAUUUUUCCGGAAGGUACUUGUACCAAUCGUUCGUGUCUAAUAACUUUCAAAUGCGGAGCAUUUUAUCCUGGUGUACCAGUACAGCCUGUUUGUAUUCGUUAUCCAAAUAAAUUAGAUACUGUUACAUGGACAUGGGAAGGUCCAGGAGCACUCAAAUUACUGUGGCUUACAUUGACGCAAUUAAAUAGUAGCUGUGAAAUUGAAUUUUUACCAGUAUACAGGCCAAGCGAAGCUGAAAAAACUGAUCCCAAAUUAUAUGCAAAUAAUGUACGCCGUUUAAUGGCAGAAGCUCUUGAAAUUCCGGUCUCCGAUUAUACAUACGAUGACUGUCGUAUAAUAAACAAAGCACAUACGCUACAUUUACCCCAUGCAGCUGUUAUUGUAGAAGCCCAUAAGCUACGCUGUAAACUCGGCCUACAAAAAGUUAAAGUAGAAGAAGAAUUAGUACAAAAAAGACUGGUUAAUAUUGAAGAAACAGUAAAUUUUAAUGAAUUUGCCAGAAUACUUAGAUUAGAUGCCAAAGAUCCUUCAGUUCAACAACUGUUCAGGAUUCAUGAUCGUGCUAAUAAAGGGACAAUAGACAUUGAAGAGUAUAUAUUUACAGUACUCGCUAUCGCAAACGCAAAUUCCGUCCUUGAUCUUGUAGAUAUCGCAUUUAAUGUCUGUGACGCCAAUGGUACCAAGUGCCUCGACGCUAAAAAAUUACGAAAGGCCUUAAAACUUUCUCUACAAUUGGAACCCGAAGAAAGUGACAGAAUAUUUUCACAAGCAACUCGAGAAGGCAGCGGAUCUGAUGCCGUAUCUUUUGGUCAGAAAUUCAUUUUUUUAAUAAUUCAAUAUUUUUUAACCAUACCUGCACCGCAAGUUUCAAUUUUUGCCCUGUUUAGCGGAAAGAAAGUCGUUGAGUCAUGAUUUUCUAUAGAUUUUCUUGUAAAGUGGCAAGUCCUGAUUGUCUAAAGACUUUCCCUAAAUUUUUCUUGGCAGAGGAUGUAAUAACAGUAUUGGGUACGAGGACAGAAUUUACACAUAUCUUUGCAGAUGACAAUGAAGUUAGAAGGAAAAAAAC